GUCACGGAGGCGCAUCCAUGAACUCCGCUUCUUUGGAUUUCGGGGCCCAGCUGUUCUCUCUCCCCGGAGCCUGGGCUGCCGGAAUCUUACUGAGCUGCAGGAGCGCUCUGUCUCUGUCUCUCCUUUUCCUCUCUCCCUGCCCUCCCAUCUCUUCUUCUCUCUGUCUUUCUCCUCUCUUUCCUUUUCUCUCCCCUUCCCUCUUCCUCUCUCCAUCUCUGUGUGUGUGUGUCCCCCCCGCCCCCGGCAUUAACCGAUAUCCCCAACCUCACCUGCUGUUUUGGAGACCAGCCUCUCCGAGCCCGGGCAGCUGGGAGUGUCCCCCCGCCAGGCCCUUCGGAGGAGCCCGGGUUGCCCGCUCUCGCUCCCCUCCCGCAGUGCAUUGUUAUGCAGCCCCCUUUGUUCCGAGUUCCAGCCCGUUUCUCUCCACCUCGGAACCGCUUUGGGGCUUGGCCUGCCUCUCGCCAGCUUAUCCUCUGCGCGGCUCUGAGUGUGGCGCCGGCCGUCAGUAUUCCCCGGAUGCCUAAAGAGUUAGUACGGGUAGAAAUUGCCCAGCACGUUAGGGGUGUGGACGCGGUGUGUAGGAAGUCUCCCUGCUUUCCACAGCCCCCGAGUUGGGAGAAAUGACAAUUUGCUUUUCUCCAAAGGUAAACAGAGGCAAGAUCGUAAUGGUUCUGAUACCUGAUUAGCAUGGAACUGUGUACUUCAGGCUGGCCUUGAGCUUACUAUGUAGUAUAGGGUUGGCCUCGAAGGAGAUCCUCCUACUUCAGCCUCCCGAGUGCUGGGAUUACAGCAAAAAUGCACAUACUUUUAGAGGCUCGUAGACCUGGUGCCCACGAAGGUGCCGACCUUGGAUCAGAGCUCUGCCGGUGCCGCCCUGGAAUCCUAUCCAGAACAAGAUGGCUUUUUGAGAAGCAAUAAACAAAUUUUCUCUCAAUUUUCUAUAAUUUCCACAAACACUUUCAGCUUUGUAUGUUUGAAAUUCUGUGUGCUGUGGCAUGGUAAAUUACUCUCUAACUUGCUAUUUUCUUAGAAAGUUAACACAAACACUAGUAACUGGGAGGGGGUAGAGCUCCGGUGUUUCCCUCCGCUGUCCGUGGCAGUAAAGCGGCCUCUACUGGACAUUAAUGGUGAUUUCCAAGAACAAGGAGCUCUGGAAAUCAAGAAAUGGUGCAUGUGAGAGUAUGGGUUCACCCCAGCAUCACAAAAAAAAUGAAACCAAAAUCGAAACCCCAAAGCAAAAGACAGUAGAAGAUCAGCAGAACAGCACAGUUACCAGGACCAUGAAGAUCGGUUUCAGUAGUAAAGGUUUGUUACCAAAGUUUUAGGGCAAGAGUCAGAGACCACUACAGGGAGAAAGGACAAAAACUCCUGGGCCCCUAACCGGUCACUCAUUAAAAGUGCAAUUUAUGCUUUCUUCUGAGGCCCAGGGAGUUAAAAGCAGUUUUUGCUAAAACCCUUGAGUCUACCCAACAGGUAACUAAGAGUAGAACCAAACUUGGCCUUUCUUUUUGUAUCCUUUAUUACCUUAAAACAUUGGCUAUGCUUACGUUCCUCAUUUAGGAAAAGUUGGCAGAGCCAAGUUUAUUAGCCCCGAAUUUACCUGCCCCGUCUCAGCCCCCUUCAGACUGGAGGACACCAUGGGAGGGGUAACUAAAGUAAUGUUCAGUGUUCAGGGGGAUUCCGACGACCAGAUUUUAUAGUGUCCCGAUUCCACGCCCUUCCUCUCCUUGCAGCAACACCUAAGAAUCUCCAGCGGUUGUCCUCAUCCAAUAGUCAUCCGGGUCCCAGGAAGAGCAAGCUUCAUGUGACCGGGACCACACACAGGCGGUCUCCAUGGGAAUCCAGCUGCGCUCAACAGUCUCACUGGCUUGGGCCACUGGUGGCAAUGCAUGACUGUCCCACAGGCCGCUGGUACCACCUGUCGGGACCGUUCCAUGCCACCCGAGGGGACACUCAUGCACGUACCACUGGUGGCUCAGGGCCGCCUGGCCGCGAGGCAUACGUUGUGAUCUGUUCUUCUAGAGCUCGGAAGCAGGACUGAGAUAACGAUGACCAGGCUCCACCAUCUCAGCUGGUCCUGAAAAGCUGGCUUCCUGCUUUCGUGGCUGGGCCAGUCGGGGCCCCUGCCUUAGCGUGAGCCCCGGUCCAGCUAUUCGAACCAGAGAACCUUCCCCAUCUGCUAUUUCCUUGUUCAGGACCACCUUUAUCUUUGUCAGAGCUGUGCUCCCUUUUCUCUUACUUUGAAUGAAAGCUUUUUCCGGCAGAUUUGUUUAUAGUUUCAAUUUCAAUUCUCACGGAAGCCAGUGACGGAGCCCGGCCUGGCCACGCCUCCCGAGGUCCCCUAGUCAGACAGGGGAUGAGCCAGGGUUCCGGUGGGAAAGGAGCUUGAAUCAGGUCGGCCUGCUUCGAAGGACAGAGGGAGAGGUUUAAAAUGUCUCUUCCAGGCACUGACAGGAACUUUGGGGUUUUCUAGGAAAGGGGAACAAGGGUUGGGCUUUACACAGCUGGGGGUUUGCACAGGGGGCUUCAUCAGUAAUCCUGGUCUGGCUCUGCUCCACUGGAUCGGAAUCUCAGGACCCACUUUGUGAGGUCCAGGGAGACCCACUGUUCCCUGAAGGGGCAAUUUGGUUCCCAUGAUGAGUUGAUGGCUCCCCUUUGGGGGGCAGACUCCGUUCCCUUCGUGGGGUAAUUGCUUCUGCUUGGGGGGUGGCCUCAUCAUGGGGUGGUCUGCAAGGUUUGCUUUGCCUGAAAUCCCAGGGGACUGAGGUUUAGGGCUAUGGCUGGACAAUCCUAGGCAUUGCCCCAGGAGACUGAACUGGGCGUUGUAAAAGCUGGUAGGUAGGGCCGAGGAUUUAGCUUAGUGGUUUUGCCGCCUGCUACACAAGCGCAAAGACCCGAGUUCGAUCCCUGAUACCAAAAAAAAAAAAAAAAGUAGGUAAUCAGAUGUCCCUGAAAAUUCUGCAAAUUAUUUUACUUACUCUUAUCUCGGUGUCCUCAUCUUGAAGGGGUAAACUUGGGGCUAAGAAAACCUUGUGAUACCGACACUCCUUGAG
This 3053-nucleotide long non-coding RNA is filed under the name Heterocephalus glaber (naked mole-rat). RNAcentral describes it as "lncRNA (ENSHGLG00100049614.1)". Lineage: Eukaryota; Metazoa; Chordata; Mammalia; Rodentia; Bathyergidae. The record is from RNAcentral.